This is a non-coding RNA of Pelobates cultripes (western spadefoot toad), 226 nucleotides long. Lineage: Eukaryota; Metazoa; Chordata; Amphibia; Anura; Pelobatidae. The record is from the annotation of a GenBank genome assembly.
CCCAGCUAUCUACCGAACGGUCAUUUAUUAUAAUCCCACGAAUAAUGUUAAAGUUAUACAUUUUUAUGUUAAAACCCGGUUCUGCUGUACGGAGGGAUAAUCCACUUAACAGGAUAUUCUAGUGGGAGUAUCCCUCACGUACAGCAGUGCAUGGUGGGAGAAAUGCUCUGUAUAUUCAGUUCCCCAUGUAGUCCUCUACUGUAAUACCCCUGUAAAGUGACUAAGG